Molecule: ribosomal RNA, 924 nt
Filed under: Vibrio sp. CAIM 1559
Lineage: Bacteria; Pseudomonadati; Pseudomonadota; Gammaproteobacteria; Vibrionales; Vibrionaceae
Description: bacterial SSU rRNA
Rfam family: Bacterial small subunit ribosomal RNA
Source: RNAcentral
CCUAACACAUGCAAGUCGAGCGGCAGCGACAUAAACCAUCCUUCGGGUGCGUUUAUGGGCGGCGAGCGGCGGACGGGUGAGUAAUGCCUAGGAAAUUGCCCUGAUGUGGGGGAUAACCAUUGGAAACGAUGGCUAAUACCGCAUAAUGCCUACGGGCCAAAGAGGGGGACCUUCGGGCCUCUCGCGUCAGGAUAUGCCUAGGUGGGAUUAGCUAGUUGGUGAGGUAAGGGCUCACCAAGGCGACGAUCCCUAGCUGGUCUGAGAGGAUGAUCAGCCACACUGGAACUGAGACACGGUCCAGACUCCUACGGGAGGCAGCAGUGGGGAAUAUUGCACAAUGGGCGCAAGCCUGAUGCAGCCAUGCCGCGUGUAUGAAGAAGGCCUUCGGGUUGUAAAGUACUUUCAGUCGUGAGGAAGGUUCAURCGUUAAUAGCGUAUGGAUUUGACGUUAGCGACAGAAGAAGCACCGGCUAACUCCGUGCCAGCAGCCGCGGUAAUACGGAGGGUGCGAGCGUUAAUCGGAAUUACUGGGCGUAAAGCGCAUGCAGGUGGUUAGUUAAGUCAGAUGUGAAAGCCCGGGGCUCAACCUCGGAAUUGCAUUUGAAACUGGCUGACUAGAGUACUGUAGAGGGGGGUAGAAUUUCAGGUGUAGCGGUGAAAUGCGUAGAGAUCUGAAGGAAUACCGGUGGCGAAGGCGGCCCCCUGGACAGAUACUGACACUCAGAUGCGAAAGCGUGGGGGAGCACACAGGAUUAGAUACCCUGGUAGUCCACGCCGCAAACGAUGUCUACUUGGAGGUUGUGGCCUUGAGCCGCGCUUUUCGAGCUAACGCGUUAAGUAGACCGCCUGGGGAGUACGGUCGCAAGAUUAAAACUCAAAUGAAUUGACGGGGCCCGCCCAAGCGGUGGAGCAUGUGGUUUAUUC